This 274-nucleotide ribosomal RNA is filed under the name uncultured bacterium. RNAcentral describes it as "partial 16S ribosomal RNA". It matches the Rfam family "Bacterial small subunit ribosomal RNA", at positions 523 to 796 of the family's 1533-position model. The record is from RNAcentral.
AUACGGAGGGUGCAAGCGUUACUCGGAAUCACUGGGCGUAAAGCGCGCGCAGGCGGCUAUUUAAGUUGGAUGUGAAAGCCUACGGCUCAACCGUAGAACUGCAUCCAAAACUAUUUAGCUAGAGUGUGGGAGAGGAAGAUGGAAUUAGUUGUGUAGGGGUAAAAUCCGUAGAGAUAACUAGGAAUACCAGAAGCGAAGGCAAUCUUCUGGAACACUUCUGACGCUGAGGCGCGGAAGCGUGGGGAGCAAACGGGAUUAGAAACCCUAGUAGUCC